RNAcentral lists this ribosomal RNA (416 nucleotides) under uncultured bacterium. RNAcentral's name for it is "bacterial SSU rRNA". It matches the Rfam family "Bacterial small subunit ribosomal RNA", at positions 362 to 770 of the family's 1533-position model. The record is from RNAcentral.
UCUUCCGCAAUGGGCGAAAGCCUGACGGAGCAACGCCGCGUGAGUGAAGAAGGAUUUCGGUUCGUAAAGCUCUGUUGUUAGGGAAGAAUGGAUAUGUAGUAACUAUACAUAUAAGAGACGGUACCUAACCGGAAAGCAACGGCUAACUACGUGCCAGCAGCCGCGGUAAUACGUAGGUGGCAAGCGUUGUCCGGAAUUAUUGGGCGUAAAGCGCGCGCAGGUGGUUUAAUAAGUCUGAUGUGAAAGCCCACGGCUCAACCGUGGAGGGUCAUUGGAAACUGUUAAACUUGAGUGCAGGAGAGAAAAGUGGAAUUCCUAGUGUAGCGGUGAAAUGCGUAGAGAUUAGGAGGAACACCAGUGGCGAAGGCGGCUUGUUGGCCUGUAACUGACACUGAGGCGCGAAAGCGUGGGGAGCA